GGACGAAGCACAUGGAGUGACUCGUGAGGAAGAUUCUCAAAGGAAGUUUUAACGUUACCCUCUGCAACUUUAAGAUAACCUGCUGAUUUCCUUCUGCCAUGCAGUGGAAAUAAUUUCAGCCAGCCAUGUCAAUGAUGUUUCGCGUUAUUGUGCACGACAGUGACAUCCGAAAGGUUGUGAUUUCAGAAAAACCAGCUGAUGUUGAUGCCUUGAAACGUGUGCUUCAAGAGAAGUUGCAAGUCACAUAUUCUUUCAA
Long non-coding RNA from Paramisgurnus dabryanus, 256 nucleotides. RefSeq lists it as uncharacterized. The record is from RefSeq and is a predicted model, not a curated record. Lineage: Eukaryota; Metazoa; Chordata; Actinopteri; Cypriniformes; Cobitidae.